UACGGAGGGUGCAAGCGUUAUCCGGAUUCACUGGGUUUAAAGGGUGCGUAGGCGGCUUUGUAAGUCAGUGGUGAAAUACUCCAGCUUAACUGGAGGGGUGCCAUUGAUACUGCGGAGCUUGAGUACAGAUGAGGUAGGCGGAAUUGACGGUGUAGCGGUGAAAUGCAUAGAUAUCGUCAAGAACACCGAUAGCGAAGGCAGCUUACUGGGCUGUAACUGACGCUGAUGCACGAAAGUGUGGGGAUCAAACAGG
Molecule: ribosomal RNA, 253 nt
Filed under: uncultured bacterium
Lineage: Bacteria
Description: partial 16S ribosomal RNA
Rfam family: Bacterial small subunit ribosomal RNA
Source: RNAcentral